This 1080-nucleotide long non-coding RNA is filed under the name Rattus norvegicus (Norway rat). RNAcentral's name for it is "long non-coding RNA NONRATT027535". Lineage: Eukaryota; Metazoa; Chordata; Mammalia; Rodentia; Muridae. The record is from RNAcentral.
UAGAAAUCCUCAUGUCCGAUUGCUUCCCCCUUAUUAUCCAAAGCUUCGCUCUCUCUUUCUUUCAAGACAAAUACGUUUAAGUAGCUGCAGUCGCACCUCACAGGUGUUCAGAGAGAAGGGCGACACUGUACCGGAUGCCCUAUGACUAGAACUUCUAAUGACCACACAGAAAGCAAACAAAUAAAAAACGCCAGGCUCAUUUCCCUCAUUUCUUACUUAACAGAAGAGAAGUAAAUGAAAGGAAGAAGAAAUAGAUUUGGUAAUUAAAAAUGUGGCAAGACGAUAAAGCAGAACCGGUGUGAUUUAGCCUUCAGGUGCAGAAAUAUGGAGUCCAAAAGAACGUGGAGUGGACUUCAUUAGAUGCAAUUGUCUUCAUAGUGAAAGUAGCCAGCUAAACCCAAUCUCCGGCAUUUUGGAAGAGACUUCCCGCACCCCCUCCUGUGAGUGCUGCCCUUUUCAGGCAUAUGGUUGUUCCACACCACUAGGUGGAGAAAGAAGGAUUGAGAGCUUCCCACCGUCCUGGUGGGGCUCCAUCCUACGUUAUUUGGCAGAGUAUAAGAAUCUCAAUAAUAACAAUGGUAAGUAUUACUAGCUGCCCUUGUGUUAGUGAAGAGGAACAUUUUUAAUCAUUCAGAAAUUUUCGUGACAUGUAAAGUGCAAUUGUGAGGAAUGUGUGGGUGUACGAAAAUGUAUCUGUCAAGUUCAGAGUCCUCUAGAUUAAAAAGAAAACUUAUAUGAUUAUCAAUGGUGCCGUUAAUAGAUGUGUUGGACAAUGGGUGUACCCCAUUUUUGCAAUUAUUCUCAAAACAAAUCUAUGUUCAGAUGCUUUAAAAUUUUAUCACAUGAUACAAAAAUAUAACUUUGUCAGCCUUUAAAAGUUCUUUCUUUCUUUUACUUAUUUUUUUUCCUUCAAAAAUCAAUGAAGACUUGAUUUCUGUCACUCAUUGUAUUGAGGGUGAAUAUACUACCUGAAUUUUGUGCAUGUUACAUUGUAGUUGUAACCUUUUCUAAUUCAGGAUGAAUACAAGAUGGUUGUGAUUGUGCAGUGUAUCAAUAAAGUUUGAAGAAAUUUGUAACUUU